Homo sapiens (human) is the source of this 1111-nucleotide long non-coding RNA. Ensembl annotates it as galectin 14 pseudogene. Its record names the gene LGALS17A. Lineage: Eukaryota; Metazoa; Chordata; Mammalia; Primates; Hominidae. The record is from Ensembl.
UGAAGAACUACACAGAGGGAGACAACAAUGUCAUCACUAAAAGUACCACACACACGGCCUGUGUCCUUGUCUACUGGUUCUUGUGUGAUAAUCACAGGGACACCGAUCAUCCCUUUCGUCAUGGACCCACAGCUGCAGGUGGAUUUCCAUACCGAGAUGAAGGAAGACUCAGACAUCGCCUUCCAUUUCCGAGUGUACUUUGGUCAUUGGGUGGUCAUGAACAGCCGCGUGAAUGGGGCUUGGCAGUAUGAGGUGACAUGCCACAAUAUGCCCUUUCAGGAUGGUAAACCAUUUAACCUGUGCAUCUCCGUGCUGGCCGAUGAGUACCAGCCGUUCAGAAUAAUAUCCUACGUUUUGCAACACCUGUUUUGUUCCUCCUCUCUGAAAACAUUUGAAUUUCCUUCUUUGCCACCACCAUUACAUCUCUGGGCAACUCCAAGGAGAAACUGGGCCAUCAGCAGUCAUAGUGAAUGGGAGUUAUAGUUCAUGGAACUGAAAUGUAUGCAUUCAAUGAACACUGUCCAGCACUAACCCCAUGGCAGGCCCUGUGCAAGACGCAAGGAUUGAAGUUCAUGAGAGACAGUCCCAGGCCAUAGGGAUCUUCCAGGCUGGACUGCAGUGGCACCAUUAAGGCUCACUGCAGCCUCGACACCCUGGGCUCAAAAAUUCCUCCUGCCUCAGCCCCCCAAGUAGGUGAGACCACAGGUUUACUGGACUCAUGCGGGUGGUAGACACGCAUGUGUGUGGGAGUCACGUUUUCUGAAGGACCUACAGGCUGGGAUCCCAGAGGAUUCUUCACUUAUGUUUGACUCAACACUAAGGAAGGACUUUCAAGAAACCAAAGAAGAAGCUGCCAGGCAUCAUAGAACUUAGCUUUGAAAAUUGGAGAGUGUCACUUUUCUAUGACAUUAUAUUGAUUAAGGACUGGUUCUCAGCAACAAUCGGCUUCACCCUCCACUCUUCCCUUCUUGGAGUUUCUACCAAGAUGGCAGAAUGACAGUCCUUUUCCCUCUAUAAGAGCUGAGAUCACCUGCUUCAUAGCAAACCUGGAGAACCACUUAGCAGAAACAACAUGUUACCUACAAACUAAUGAAGGCAGAUUGAGUAAAGU